GAUGAACGCUGGCGGCGUGCCUAAUACAUGCAAGUCGAGCGAACGGACGAGAAGCUUGCUUUUCUGAUGUUAGCGGCGGACGGGUGAGUAACACGUGGAUAACCUACCUAUAAGACUGGGAUAACUUCGGGAAACCGGAGCUAAUACCGGAUAAUAUUUUGAACCGCAUGGUUCAAAAGUGAAAGACGGUCUUGCUGUCACUUAUAGAUGGAUCCGCGCUGCAUUAGCUAGUUGGUAAGGUAACGGCUUACCAAGGCAACGAUGCAUAGCAGACCUGAGAGGGUGAUCGGCCACACUGGAACUGAGACACGGUCAAGACUCCUACGGGAGGCAGCAGUAGGGAAUCUUCCGCAAUGGGCGAAAGCCUGACGGAGCAACGCCGCGUGGGUGAUGAAGGUCUUCGGAUCGUAAAACUCUGUUAUUAGGGAAGAACAUAUGUGUAAGUAAAUGUGCACAUCUUGACGGUACCUAAUCAGAAAGCCACGGCUAACUACGUG
This 497-nucleotide ribosomal RNA is filed under the name uncultured bacterium. Its description in RNAcentral is "partial 16S ribosomal RNA". It matches the Rfam family "Bacterial small subunit ribosomal RNA", at positions 28 to 507 of the family's 1533-position model. The record is from RNAcentral.